GUGAGGAAAAGAAGUUCUUGGCUUUGGAAAAGGCUGCCAUUCAGUCCACUCCUGAGCAUGGAAUCAGCAGGGCUCAAACCCACAUCAAGACCUCCCUCACUCAGCCACUUCUCCCCUCGUCAACAGAAAAUGUUUGACCGGCAAAGCCUCUUAACUCUUAACCACACAGUUGGCCGGAGAGCCAAGAUCCCAUGAAAAAGAAAAAAAAGGCAGUACUGCUCUAUUAAUUAAGAUGGCUUGUGUGUGUAUGAAGAAGUUCUUUUAAAUUUUUUUUCCGUAUGUUUCAGUCAUUUCAUGUUAG
This 301-nucleotide long non-coding RNA is filed under the name Populus trichocarpa (black cottonwood). RNAcentral describes it as "long non-coding RNA (PTRI_LNC000540)". The record is from RNAcentral. Lineage: Eukaryota; Viridiplantae; Streptophyta; Magnoliopsida; Malpighiales; Salicaceae.